Molecule: long non-coding RNA, 330 nt
Organism: Pecten maximus
Lineage: Eukaryota; Metazoa; Mollusca; Bivalvia; Pectinida; Pectinidae
Exons: 3
Source: RefSeq, a predicted model, not a curated record
GAUAGGAAGCCAUCCGAGUUGUAUCCAAAUCCGAGGUCUGCACUUCCCUAUGACAGGAUAACACCAAGCAGAAAGAGACCAAUGCCAAGACCUGAUUUGACAAAAGUACAAAACGAAGAAUUCUGGACAUCGUGGACGAAAACGAUAACAUCGAAAUGGAGAGCAUUGUGGUGCCAUCUGAAGUGCAAUUAGACAUGCAGAAAGAUGACAAUUUGCUUAUGAAAGAAACACAACCUUUAGACCUACUGGCUCUGGCUGCUGAAAACAGAAGAUUAGACCAGGAGCAUGCCAAACUUAUAUCAAACAACGCACGUUUAAGUGAGGGUUAUU